Molecule: ribosomal RNA, 1343 nt
Filed under: uncultured bacterium
Lineage: Bacteria
Description: 16S ribosomal RNA
Rfam family: Bacterial small subunit ribosomal RNA
Source: RNAcentral
GACGAACGCUGGCGGCGUGCUUAACACAUGCAAGUCGAACGGAAAGGCCCUGCUUUUGUGGGGUGCUCGAGUGGCGAACGGGUGAGUAACACGUGAGUAACCUGCCCUUGACUUUGGGAUAACUUCAGGAAACUGGGGCUAAUACCGGAUAGGAGCUCCUGCUGCAUGGUGGGGGUUGGAAAGUUUCGGCGGUUGGGGAUGGACUCGCGGCUUAUCAGCUUGUUGGUGGGGUAGUGGCUUACCAAGGCUUUGACGGGUAGCCGGCCUGAGAGGGUGACCGGCCACAUUGGGACUGAGAUACGGCCCAGACUCCUACGGGAGGCGGCAGUGGGGAAUAUUGCACAAUGGGCGGAAGCCUGAUGCAGCAACGCCGCGUGCGGGAUGACGGCCUUCGGGUUGUAAACCGCUUUCGCCUGUGACGAAGCGUGAGUGACGGUAAUGGGUAAAGAAGCACCGGCUAACUACGUGCCAGCAGCCGCGGUGAUACGUAGGGUGCGAGCGUUGUCCGGAUUUAUUGGGCGUAAAGGGCUCGUAGGUGGUUGAUCGCGUCGGAAGUGUAAUCUUGGGGCUUAACCCUGAGCGUGCUUUCGAUACGGGUUGACUUGAGGAAGGUAGGGGAGAAUGGAAUUCCUGGUGGAGCGGUGGAAUGCGCAGAUAUCAGGAGGAACACCAGUGGCGAAGGCGGUUCUCUGGGCCUUUCCUGACGCUGAGGAGCGAAAGCGUGGGGAGCGAACAGGCUUAGAUACCCUGGUAGUCCACGCUGUAAACGGUGGGUACUAGGUGUGGGGUCCAUUCCACGGGUUCCGUGCCGUAGCUAACGCUUUAGGUACCCCGCCUGGGGAGUACGGCCGCAAGGCUAAAACUCAAAGGAAUUGACGGGGCCCCGCACAAGCGGCGGAGCAUGCGGAUUAAUUCGAUGCAACGCGUAGAACCUUACCUGGGUUUGACAUGGAUCGGGAGUGCUCAGAGAUGGGUGUGCCUCUUUUGGGGUCGGUUCACAGGUGGUGCAUGGCUGUCGUCAGCUCGUGUCGUGAGAUGUUGGGUUAAGUCCCGCAACGAGCGCAACCCUUGUUCACUGUUGCCAGCACGUUAUGGUGGGGACUCAGUGGAGACCGCCGGGGUCAACUCGGAGGAAGGUGGGGAUGACGUCAAGUCAUCAUGCCCCUUAUGUCCAGGGCUUCACGCAUGCUACAAUGGCUGGUACAGAGAGUGGCGAGCCUGUGAGGGUGAGCGAAUCUCGGAAAGCCGGUCUCAGUUCGGAUUGGGGUCUGCAACUCGACCUCAUGAAGUCGGAGUCGCUAGUAAUCGCAGAUCAGCAACGCUGCGGUGAAUACGUUCCCGGG